This 159-nucleotide ribosomal RNA is filed under the name Prescottia plantaginifolia. RNAcentral describes it as "5.8S ribosomal RNA". It matches the Rfam family "5.8S ribosomal RNA". Rfam says of the family: 5.8S ribosomal RNA (5.8S rRNA) is a component of the large subunit of the eukaryotic ribosome. It is transcribed by RNA polymerase I as part of the 45S precursor that also contains 18S and 28S rRNA. Lineage: Eukaryota; Viridiplantae; Streptophyta; Magnoliopsida; Asparagales; Orchidaceae. The record is from RNAcentral.
UGACUCUCGGCAAUGGAUAUCUUGGCUCUUGCAUCGAUGAAGAGCGCAGCGAAAUGCGAUACGUGGUGUGAAUUGCAGAAUCCCGUGAAUCAUCGAGUUUUUGAACGCAAGUUGCGCCCGAGGCCAAUUGGUUGAGGGCACGUCCGCCUGGGCGUCAAG